ACCCGCACAAGCGGUGGAUGAUGUGGAUUAAUUCGAUGCAACGCGAAAACCUUACCUACCUUGACAUGUCCGGAAUCCUGCAGAGAUGCGGGAGUGCCGAAAGGGAAUCGGAACACAGGUGCUGCAUGGCUGUCGUCAGCUCGUGUCGUGAGAUGUUGGGUUAAGUCCCGCAACGAGCGCAACCCUUAUCAUUAGUUGCUACGCAAGGGCACUCUAAUGAGACUGCCGGUGACAAACCGGAGGAAGGUGGGGAUGACGUCAAGUCCUCAUGGCCCUUAUGGGUAGGGCUUCACACGUCAUACAAUGGUCGGUACAGAGGGUUGCCAAGCCGCGAGGUGGAGCCAAUCCCAGAAAGCCGAUCGUAGUCCGGAUUGUUCUCUGCAACUCGAGAGCAUGAAGUCGGAAUCGCUAGUAAUCGCGGAUCAGCAUGUCGCGGUGAAUACGUUCCCGGGUCUU
RNAcentral lists this ribosomal RNA (456 nucleotides) under uncultured Thiobacillus sp. RNAcentral describes it as "bacterial SSU rRNA". It matches the Rfam family "Bacterial small subunit ribosomal RNA", at positions 919 to 1382 of the family's 1533-position model. The record is from RNAcentral. Lineage: Bacteria; Pseudomonadati; Pseudomonadota; Betaproteobacteria; Nitrosomonadales; Thiobacillaceae.